This 160-nucleotide unclassified non-coding RNA is filed under the name soil metagenome. Its description in RNAcentral is "partial internal transcribed spacer 1". The record is from RNAcentral.
AAGAGACGUUGCCCUUCGGGGUAUACCUCCCACCCUUUGUUUAUAUACCUUUGUUGCUUUGGCGGGCCCGUCCUCGGACCACCGGCUUCUGCUGGUCAGUGCCCGCCAGAGGACCUAAAACUCUGUUUGUUAAUAUUGUCUGAGUACUAUAUAAUAGUUA